CAGGGAGACAACAAAAUGUUUAAUAUUAUUAUUUUGUCACCUUAGGUCGAUCGGUAUCUCACGUUUUUAAUUUAUUAAGAAUUUCAUUUCCUAAGUUUUUCUAGGUCACACCCAUUAUUUUCCUGGGCCAUUAGCUCAGGUGGUUAGAGCGCACCCCUGAUAAGGGUGAGGUCCCUGGUUCAAGUCCAGGAUGGCCCAUAUCUCUAUGUUGGGGGUAUAGCUCAGUUGGUAGAGCGCCUGCUUUGCAAGCAGGAUGUCAGCGGUUCGAGUCCGCUUACCUCCACUGAUUACCACCUCUUCCAUAAUUCGUAGAAGGGAAAUGUUAUGUGUUGUGAUCAACUUCUGAACGAAUCUAGCUUCCUAAUGAAAUCAUUAAGAUGCUGGACUCAUUGAAUUAAUUUCAUUGUUUUCAGAGAACCUUGACAACUGCAUAGAUUAUUUUUAAAGACAAUAAGCAUCUUUAAUGAUGCANAUUUAUUAUUUGUGCGAAUGCAUUAAUAACAAUUCUAUUAAGCUGAUGCUUCAAUUUUGAAGUUAUU
This 539-nucleotide transfer RNA is filed under the name uncultured Prochlorococcus sp. RNAcentral's name for it is "partial 16S-23S ribosomal RNA intergenic spacer". The stretch from base 211 to 283 matches the Rfam family "tRNA". Lineage: Bacteria; Bacillati; Cyanobacteriota; Cyanophyceae; Synechococcales; Prochlorococcaceae. The record is from RNAcentral.